CUGGCAUUGCUCUUACCUGGGCCUCCAGCUGUUUAGCAGCCUGUUUUUCUGGGGCUGUGGGGCUGCUCAGUUCUGCAGUCUGCUGCAUCUCUUGGGCACUGAGUCAGGGACUGAAAGAAAGAUGAAGCUCUCAAGAGGCAUAAAAGUCUGCAGAAUUUACAAAAAGAGUGCAGCAGCACAAGUGCCCACUCAUCUCAAAAGGAGGAAUUCAGUAUUGCUCUGUCUUGUGUCAAGGAGUAAUAGAGAUGUGAGAGACUAACAGCACCCUGUGCUGAGGCAUGGCAUCAGCUGGGUAUGAGGAAAAACAGGAUUCUGGGCCUCAUUAACUCAGUGACUUCAACAGGAUGAUACAGAAAUCCAGUGGGAAAAGAAACCCUGCUUUAACUCAGCAGCAAUUUGUUUUGUUAGCAAAAUAUUUUCAAGUGACUGGUGACUAAAUGAGAAAGUAGAUUGGGUGGGGGUGAAGAGGAGGGUGAAGAAUGAGUAUUUCAGCAAUUAUACACAUGAAACCAGAGACUGGCUGGAUAUGCUGCAACACAGUCCAGCUGCCUGACUGUGUAAUUAAACUCCAGCCUGUCUGGUUGAAAUGCAGGAGGCAUUUCUGCAGUGAGGUUAAAUUAAGAGUUGGUGAUAACAAGGAGACAUUAUGGAAAUGUCAAAAUUAGCAUGUGCUGAAUGAGAGUGUGGAUGGCCCAAAGAAGCAGGGAAGGGAAAGUCUGAGGAAGAAAAGAGCCUCCUUACUGUGGCUGUUCCUAUUUGCCCUCUGCAGAGCCGUUACUCCACCACAUAGACAGUUUCAGCCAGUGCUAGUACUUUUUCAAGAUGGUUAACAUGAGAAGGGAAAGACUGAAAGUAAACUCCUGCUCUGAACUGCUCUGUGGCAUUGUCCUCCUUCACCAUCAGAUACAUUUCCUGCAUGGGGCCAGAACAGGAAGCACAGUUCUCCUCCUCCACAGCUCACUUGGGAGGGGCUGGGAAACCAAAUCCUGCAUGCUACAAAUUCUGAACCUUGCUCAAGGCAGGAAAGGAAAAAGGAGAGGGAGAGAUUAGUCUUCUAGGGAGCCCAGCAUGAGGAUCUGCCUCUUGAUAUUAUUAAGGAAGUCACCGAGCAGUUUUUAAUAAGAUUUUUUUU
RNAcentral lists this long non-coding RNA (1132 nucleotides) under Anser brachyrhynchus (Pink-footed goose). Its description in RNAcentral is "lncRNA (ENSABRG00000012569.1)". The record is from RNAcentral. Lineage: Eukaryota; Metazoa; Chordata; Aves; Anseriformes; Anatidae.